RNAcentral lists this non-coding RNA (196 nucleotides) under Blautia sp. Lineage: Bacteria; Bacillati; Bacillota; Clostridia; Lachnospirales; Lachnospiraceae. RNAcentral also lists the same sequence under 1 other name. The record is from RNAcentral.
AAUUCCAUAAACCUAUUGAGUGCAUCAGCGUUGACCGCACAACACUGGUGAAAAGGGAAUCAGGUGAGAAUCCUGAGCGAUCCGGUCACUGUAUUUGGGGAGCAAUGUCAGCAAAAUCCAUUGUACGAAAGUAUGAGAAGGAGAGGCAAAGCGGAGAACCAUAAGUCAGGAAACCUGCUUAAUAGCAGUAAGGUGA